RNA transcript from Tripterygium wilfordii, 2139 nucleotides. RefSeq lists it as uncharacterized. The record is from RefSeq and is a predicted model, not a curated record. The transcript has 6 exons. Lineage: Eukaryota; Viridiplantae; Streptophyta; Magnoliopsida; Celastrales; Celastraceae.
AAUAAUGCGCAAAGGAAUAUAUAUGAUAUCAUUAUGGAAAAAGUCAACAACCAAGAUGGUGGUAUGUACUUUGUCUAUGGACAUGGAGGCAGUGGAAAAACAUUCUUGUACCAAACUAUAAUUACAACCAUAAGAUCUACUGGGAGAAUUGUCCUCGCAGUGGCUUCAUCUGGGAUAGCAUCUUUGUUACUUCCAGGGGGUCGUACUGCACAUUCAAGAUUCAAAAUCCCUUUGCAAGUUAAUGAACAAUCAACCUGCCAUGUAAAAAAAGGAACUCAACUAGCAAGAUUAAUAGCAAAGGCAAGCCUUAUUGUCUGGGAUGAAGCACCGAUGACACAUAGGUAUUCUUUUGAAGCUGUCGAUAGAACAUUGCAAGAUAUACUUGGUAUCAAUGGUGAUGAUGCUAAUUCAAAUCCAUUUGGAGGAAAGAUGGUUUUGUUGGGAGGUGACUUUAGGCAAAUUUUACCUGUUGUUAUGCAUGGGACAAGAUAUGAUACAGUGAAUGCAUCAAUAACAAAGUCUCAUCUUUGGAAACAUUGUAAAGUGUUUUCUCUUCAUCAGAAUAUGCGUCCACAGGCAGCAGAACUUACUGAAGAGGAGAAAGCUUCCAUGACAACAUAUGCACAGUGGAUUUUAGAUGUAGGGGAUGGUAAAGUUAUUUCUGCUGCUAUAUCUGAUGAUCAAGAAGAAUCACCUUGGAUAAAAAUACCUUAUCAGCUUUUGCUCAAAUCUAAUGAUGACUUGCUAAAUUCUCUCAUCACAGAAAUUUAUGACAAUUUACAGAAUUCAUAUAAUGAUUCCAGUUAUUUAAAUGAGAGAGCUAUCAUUACCGGUACAAAUGAAACUGUUACUAUGAUAAAUUCUCGUGUUUUGGCUCUUCUUACAAUAGAGGAAAGGACCUACUACAGUUUUGAUUCCAUAUGUAAGACAUCACAGAAUUCUGAUGUAUCAGAUUUACUCUAUACUAUUGAUGCGUUAAACUCGAUGACAUUCCAUGGAAUUCCAAACCAUGAGUUAACAUUGAAGAAAUGUGCUCCAAUAAUGUUACUUCAGAAUUUAAAUCAAGCUGAUGGUUUGUGUAAUGGAACAAGGCUUCUCAUCACUCACCUUGGAGAUAAGGUUAUUCAAGCGAAUGUGCUUAGCGGUAGUCAUGUGGGUGACAACGUAUGUAUUCCUAGAAUAAUUAUGGAUGGGAAGGACAAUAAAUAUCCAUUUGUAUUGAAGAGGAGGCAGUUUCCAAUCAAAUUAUGUUAUGCAAUGACUAUUAACAAAAGUCAAGGGCAAACUCUAAGAAAGGUUGGUUUAUAUCUGCCGAAACCAAUUUUCACACAUGGUCAACUCUAUGUUGCCAUUUCACGUGUGACCUCAUAUAGUGGUCUAAAGAUAACAUUGGAUGAUCAUAAUGAAAAAACAAAGGGAUGUACAAGAAAUAUUGUAUAUCAUGAAAUCUUUGACGGGUUAACUUCAGGUUAAAUAGCAUCACCAUGGAUUAUGACUUCAUAUCUCAAUUGGAAAUUGCCAAUCAUCAGUGGAAGAUCAAAGCAAGGAUACACGCUUUUGGGAUUCAAUCAACCAUGCUCAGGAUGAUUUGCUAAUAAGUGUUGAUGCAUACAUUGUCGAUGAAAAGGGUGAUAGCAUCCUUGUGAUAAUGAGGGCAGACUAUGCUGAAUAUUUCAAAGCUGUGCUUAAUGAGGGAGAUGUGUAUUAUUUCAGCAAUUUCUCGGUAUUUCCAGUGAGGCCUGCUUAUCUGCCAUGCCUUAAUAAAUACAUGAUCAAGUUUGAUAAGAAGACAAAGAUUCAGAAAAUAGCUGAUCCAGAAGAUGACUUCCCUCUGCAUAAAUUUCACUUUAUUAAUUACACUCAAAUGCAAUCCAAAGUACGAAACAAUGUUUACCUGACAGAUAUGAUAGGGCAGCUGGUCAAUGCUGGAGAUGUGCAACAAGUGUACACCAAUAAUAAAAUGGUCAAGCUGAGAAGGAUAGAAUUUGAAGAUGAAAUGAAAAACUAUUUUGAGUAGUAUAUCAGGAUCAAGGAUAUACUUUAAUCCAAAAAUUCCAGAAGUUAAAGAGCUGAAAAAAAGGAUAAUCCAGCCUAGAAUUCUUGAAAUCAUACCAAGUGAACAGUCAUCACCUGCUGACC